This 319-nucleotide long non-coding RNA is filed under the name Mus spicilegus (steppe mouse). RNAcentral describes it as "lncRNA (ENSMSIG00000030754.1)". The record is from RNAcentral. Lineage: Eukaryota; Metazoa; Chordata; Mammalia; Rodentia; Muridae.
CUACAUCCUACAAUGUUAACUGACCUCAAAAUGGUAGUGGUGGCCAAAGAAACCCACUUGCAUCAGUGGGAGGAAGGGAACUGGUAGCAGAGGUGACAGUUCCCAAGACCCUGGCUCUGCCUCUACAAAGUGAUUGAGUUGCCACUGUUAGGCUGGUCUCCUGAUGAUGCUAACUGUAAGGGAACACGUUGUUACUCUGUUUGUGGAUCUGAUGUCCAUCUCAGGAGUCAACCAACCAAAGCAGAGUAUCCUGAGCUUUCCUUCAAAAAUAUUGCAAGGAUCAAGGUGUAGAUUUGUUCUCUCAGCUAUAGAAAGCUAA